GGUAGGGUGGCCGAGAGUUUAGGCGGUGGGUUGUAGCCCCGAAGAUAAAGGUUUAAGUCCUUUUCCUAUCA
RNAcentral lists this transfer RNA (71 nucleotides) under Discherodontus ashmeadi (redtail barb). Its description in RNAcentral is "tRNA-Tyr". It matches the Rfam family "tRNA". From Rfam's summary of the family: Transfer RNA (tRNA) molecules are approximately 80 nucleotides in length. Their secondary structure includes four short double-helical elements and three loops (D, anti-codon, and T loops). Further hydrogen bonds mediate the characteristic L-shaped molecular structure. tRNAs have two regions of fundamental functional importance: the anti-codon, which is responsible for specific mRNA codon recognition, and the 3' end, to which the tRNAs corresponding amino acid is attached (by aminoacyl-tRNA synthetases). tRNAs cope with the degeneracy of the genetic code in two manners: having more than one tRNA (with a specific anti-codon) for a particular amino acid; and 'wobble' base-pairing, i.e. permitting non-standard base-pairing at the 3rd anti-codon position. The record is from RNAcentral. Lineage: Eukaryota; Metazoa; Chordata; Actinopteri; Cypriniformes; Cyprinidae.